UUAAGUUCAGCGGGUAUCCUCACCUGAUCCGAGGUCAAUAUUGGGGGUGUGCUUCUGGAGAGCCGACCCGGCGAGCCUCAAGCGCGACUGUGCUGCGCUCGUGGCCUGCGGGUGCGGGCUGCCAAUGACUUUGAGGUGAGUCGCCGCGCGGGGCGGGACAAGCACCCAACACAAGCGGAGCUUGAAGGGUUAAAUGACGC
This 200-nucleotide unclassified non-coding RNA is filed under the name Parathyridaria sp. RNAcentral describes it as "partial internal transcribed spacer 2". Lineage: Eukaryota; Fungi; Ascomycota; Dothideomycetes; Pleosporales; Thyridariaceae. The record is from RNAcentral.